AGGCGCGUAGCUCUGUCCGGUUAGAGCGCCUGCUUGACACGCAGGAGGUCGGCGGUUCGAGUCCGCCCGUGCCUACCA
Molecule: transfer RNA, 78 nt
Filed under: Vicinamibacterales bacterium
Lineage: Bacteria; Pseudomonadati; Acidobacteriota; Vicinamibacteria; Vicinamibacterales
Description: tRNA-Val
Rfam family: tRNA
About the family: Transfer RNA (tRNA) molecules are approximately 80 nucleotides in length. Their secondary structure includes four short double-helical elements and three loops (D, anti-codon, and T loops).
Source: RNAcentral